This is a long non-coding RNA of Amphibalanus amphitrite, 1186 nucleotides long. RefSeq lists it as uncharacterized. Lineage: Eukaryota; Metazoa; Arthropoda; Thecostraca; Balanomorpha; Balanidae. The record is from RefSeq and is a predicted model, not a curated record. The transcript is spliced from 2 exons.
AAGGCCUGUACACAUUCAGCUGUUGUGCUGUUGUCAGCUGAAAUAGGCUCCGCCCACCGCUUCUGGCUGACGGAACUGUAUACAUUUGGCUGAUGAGAAAUGUCAGCACUGGCUGGCUGUUUACAAAUAUGGCGUUGUAAACAAAUAUUUCGUCUCAUCUUCAUGUUCUUUAUUAAUACAAUACUUAAGCAGUUAGAUAUAUUAUCAAAAUAUUUACAGACAAUGUGCGAAAGUAAUAAGUAUUUGUCUUGUAUCGACAAUUAAUUAUGAAACCAAAUAUAUGUGAAUAGCGCCAACAUGGUGUCCAAAUUUCAUUUAUCUGCAGUGCUCAAUAAAAAUAUGGCACGUGAUUUGCUUUCAUGCGCCACUACCAGUGUCUAAAUGCGUCAUUUAUGGCUUUUGCUGACGGCUCGGCAUCUCUUCACUUGCUUUCUCGUAGCAGCACAGCCCGUCAGCCCAUGCUGCCGGCAGCAGAGAGGUGACGUCAUGUUGCAAGUGCAACAAAACGUCAUCAAUUUUUCAGCCAAUAGUUGCCUGGCAGUGUGUCAUCGACACAACGCCUCGAGGUCAGAAACCAAGCUAGUACCUCAUCCAUUGGCACUGACACGAUGCGCCCAGCAUCCUGCUCGAUGCUCGACCUGGAGAAGCCUCGGGCUGCUGACGUACUGCAUGGCCGCGUCCUGGAGCUGAGGGGUGGCGGCGUGCCGCGCUUGACCUGUGAUCGGCUGUGUGCUCGAGACUGGUUCCGAGACCUGGCCCGCCACCGACGAGGUCUCCUGAGCCCUGGCCGCUGAGCGGAAGAUGCGAGGCUGGGGAGAGGCGACGUCUGCCUGGCGCGGACGACUGCGUGAGCUGCUCGGGCGAACGCUGAGUGGAGAGGUGUAGCGGAUGAUGGACUAUAGUUUUGCGCACGGUUUCGGCAUUACGGUUCGCCGGCGCGGUGCGUCUGUACGAUAUCUGAGUGACUGGCCGGAGAACGGGCAGGUGACAGUGCAUGGCCACGGAGGCUGAGUGCUGGAUGCUAAAGCUGCUGUGUCUCUGCUUGCAGAAACCCCACUUUGCUGCAUGCGCGAAGGCUGUGUUUUGUGCCAUUCCUUCUGUUUCUAUCUUUUCCUUUGUUUGCCUUUCAAUGUAUCCUUCCCUUUACGUCUUUCAUUUUUGUGUACUAUAAAGCGUUCAACGUACA